This 314-nucleotide long non-coding RNA is filed under the name Capsella grandiflora. Its description in RNAcentral is "long non-coding RNA (CGRA_LNC001771)". The record is from RNAcentral. Lineage: Eukaryota; Viridiplantae; Streptophyta; Magnoliopsida; Brassicales; Brassicaceae.
UAAUACUUGGAUUUAAGAAUACAGUAAAAAAAUUAUUACGGAAAUUUUCUUCAAAAUAGUUAUAAUCCAAACAAAACAAAACAAUCUAACCAAAAAAAAACAAAACAAAAAAGGUUAUAUGGAGACGUACUUGUCACAAUUGGUGCUGAAACUGAUGGGGUAGGGAAUUGAAAGACCACAAGUGGUAGGAAGUGAGGCCACAAGGCCGGUGUUGAGGCCCUUGAUUUCUUUACCCGCUACUUUAAGGCACUCACAUACUUGUUUCCGAUCCGCUGUGGUCUGAGCCAUUUGGUACAAUGACUUGACUCCCACGC